CCUACGGGAGGCUGCAGUGGGGAAUAUUGGGCAAUGGGCGCAAGCCUGACCCAGCAACGCCGCGUGAAGGAAGAAGGCUUUCGGGUUUUAAACUUCCUUUCUCAGAGACGCAGCAAUUAACGGUACCUGAGGAAUAAGCCACGGCUAACUACGUGCCAGCAGCCGCUGUAAUACGGAGGUCGCAAGCGUUAUUCGGAUUUAAUGGGUGUAAAGGGCGUGUAGGCGGGGACGCAAGUCAGAUGUGAAAACCACGGGCUCAACCUGUGGCCUGCAUUUGAGACUGUGGUUCUUGAGUGCUGGAGAGGCAGGCGGAAUUCAUGGUGUAGCGGUGAAAUGCGUAGAGAUUAGGCAGAACACCAGUGGCGAAGGCAGUCUGCUGGACAGCAACUGACGCUGAGGCGCGAAAGCGUGGGGAGCAAACAGGAUUAGAUACCCUAGUAGUC
Molecule: ribosomal RNA, 443 nt
Filed under: uncultured bacterium
Lineage: Bacteria
Description: partial 16S ribosomal RNA
Rfam family: Bacterial small subunit ribosomal RNA
Source: RNAcentral